Non-coding RNA from Acanthosepion pharaonis, 105 nucleotides. The record is from the annotation of a GenBank genome assembly. Lineage: Eukaryota; Metazoa; Mollusca; Cephalopoda; Sepiida; Sepiidae.
UGGCCAUAUCAUCUAUACCAGUUCUCAUCUGUUCACUGAAGUUAAGCAAUAUUGAGCCUUGUCAGCACCUAAAUGGGUGAGCAUUUGGGAAUAUCAGGUGUUGUA